AUUUUAUGUGUUAUAGAGAAGCUUUGCAAAAUUAUUCUGAAAAUUUGUGGGUCCAAACGGUUGCAGCAAGGAGCAGCUGCUUUGCUCAAGGGGUUUAAGCAAAGUCAGCAGCACAAGCAUUUUCCCAUCCGCCCGUCUCUCUUCCUCGUUCCUGGUUCCGCCGUCGCCGCCGCCGCCGCAUCGAUGGCCGCGGCCGGAGCCACGCGGGGGAAGGCUCCGUGGGCUCUUCUCCUCCGCUUCCGCUCCUACGCCCGCCCCCGCCUCUUCUCCGCCCCGAAACCCUACCACAACCCCACCCCCCCUCUUCCCUGCUUCUUCCGCCUCCUCCCCUCCCGCCCCUUCUCCGCGAAUCCCAAUCCCGUGAUGGGCGACCGCGUCGUCCAGGAGCUCCUCGCCGAGGCCGAGCGGGAGCGGCAGCGGGAGCGCGAGGAGAGGCGGAAGGCCGGGGUCGACGUCGCCGACGACGACGACGAAGAGGAGGAGGAUUACAUGGGAGUGGGCCCGCUCAUCGAGAAGCUGGAGAAGAAGCGGGCGAGGGAGGCCGACAGCGCCUUCGACAUGUUCUGGGAGCCCACGGAUUCCGACAGCGACGAAGACGACGAGCGCUUCUCCCCCGACGAGAUCAAGAAGCGCCUCGACGAGUUCGACAGGAAAUGCAAGCGCCACUCCGAGCUCCUCAAGAACUUCGCCGAGGCUGAAACUCUUGAUGAAGCUCACAAAUGGAUGACUAAAAUUGACAAAUUCGAGCAGCGACAUUUGAAGCUUCCACUGGAAUAUAGGGUCAUAGGUGAUAUGAUGAAUCGCCUAAAAGAGUCUACAGGAAAAGAAAGGUUUAUUCUUCUUCAGAAGCUAAAUCGAGCUGUGAGGCUGAUGGAAUGCAAAGAAGCAUAUGACCCCACUAAUCCUGCGAAUUUUGGAGUAAUUCAGCACCAACAAGUUGGUUCUCCUGAUGAUCUGGUAGAUAAUGCUGGAUUCGAGAAGGAGAAGCAAAUGAUCCAAGGGGCAAGACUAGAGGAAGAUGAUGAGGAUUUCAGUGAAGCAAAAGAGAGAGAUGACGCGCUGAUAGAGAAACUCAAUGCUAUAGAAAAGAAACUUGAGGAGAAAUUAGCAGAGUUGGAUCAUACAUUUGGCAAGAAGGGCAGAGCUUUGGAAGAAGAGAUCAAGGAUCUGGUAGAGGAGCGAAAUUCUUUGACGGACAAAAAGAGAAGACCUCUCUACCGGAAAGGCUUUGAUGUUAAAGUUAUUGAUGUUAAUCGAACAUGUAAAGUUACAAAGGGGGGACAAGUGGCCAAGUACACUGCAUUGUUAGCUACUGGAAACUACCAUGGAGUAGUAGGUUUUGCUAAAGCUAAAGGUCCAACUGCAAAGAUUGCUAUUCAAAGGGCAUAUGAGAAAUGUUUCCAGAACCUUCACUACAUCGAGCGAUAUGAAGAUCACACAAUCGCGCAUGCAAUCCAUACCAAAUAUGAGAAAACUAAGAUAUAUUUGUGGCCUGGACCAAUGGGAAGUGGGAUAUCAGCAGCUGGUAGAACUGUUGAAACUGUACUGUAUUUGGCUGGUUUCAGCAAUGUCAAGUCAAAGAUCAUUGGCUCAAGGAACCCACUUAAUGUUAUAAAAGCACUCUUCAAAGCGCUGAAUGCUAUUGAAACACCGAAGGAUGUCCAGGAGAAGUUUGGACGAACUGUUGUUGAGUCGUACUUGAUGUAGUGCUACCACAUAUGAACUCUCAGCUACGACCUUGCUGGGGAAAAAUUGCACAAAGUGUCCCCAACCUUUUAUGAGGAAACGAUAUAUAUACGAAGGGAAGGGAGCAAAUUGUAAACACUAAAUGGUUGAGGACCAAAUUGAAACUAAACGAACCUGAAAAUAAUUGCCCUUUGUCUUUCCUUUUAACCUCAUUGCCGAUCAACGCAGCAGCAAACCCUCAUAAAAGGCGGAGCCAAAGGCCUCUGGAUACUUUUUGGGCUUCAUGUUCUUUUCUUCCCUAUCUGCAGUUGUAACUAAAGAUACUAAAUUAUGUAGUAGUUUCAUUGUUGUGUUUUUAUUAGUAUGAGCAUACACAUUAUUUUGUUGGUUGGCAUCUUCAGCUGGUUGAAAGAGGAUUGCAGUUGGUUUAAUAGCGGCAAACCGUUCUGAGAACGCGAUUUUUCUACAAUAGAAAAGCUUUUGUUCCAUA
Molecule: RNA transcript, 2176 nt
Organism: Ananas comosus (pineapple)
Lineage: Eukaryota; Viridiplantae; Streptophyta; Magnoliopsida; Poales; Bromeliaceae
Exons: 9
Source: RefSeq, a predicted model, not a curated record